Molecule: ribosomal RNA, 406 nt
Filed under: uncultured bacterium
Lineage: Bacteria
Description: partial 16S ribosomal RNA
Rfam family: Bacterial small subunit ribosomal RNA
Source: RNAcentral
AUUGAACGCUGGCGGCAGGCCUAACACAUGCUAGUCGAACGAGUGGCGGACGGGUGAGUAAUGUCUGGGAAACUGCCCGAUGGAGGGGGAUAACUACUGGAAACGGUAGCUAAUACCGCAUACCAUCGGAUGUGCCCAGAUGGGAUUAGCUCGUAGGUGGGGUAACGGCUCAACUAGGCGACGAUCCCUAGCUGGUCUGAGAGGAUGACCAGCCAAACUGGAACUUAGACACGGUCCAGACUCGUCCGGGAGUAAGCAGUGGGGAAUAUUGCACAAUGGUGUCAAGCCUGAUGCAGCCAUGCCGCGUGUAUGAAGAAGGCUUUCGGGUUGUAAAGUACUUUCAGCGAGGAGGCGUUACUCGCAGAAGAAGCACCGGCUAACUCCGUGCCAGCCGCCGCGGUAAUUC